Molecule: long non-coding RNA, 454 nt
Organism: Mesocricetus auratus (golden hamster)
Lineage: Eukaryota; Metazoa; Chordata; Mammalia; Rodentia; Cricetidae
Exons: 2
Source: RefSeq, a predicted model, not a curated record
UCUCUCUCAAAGUCCCACGAUAAGGAAGCAGGAAGCGAGGAUGCGAAUCAGAACUAGUCAGAGAGAGAGAGGUGGGGGGAUCCCAGAGCGCUGCGCCCAGAGGCACACACUGCUGAGUCUCCGGAAGCUACUUGGGGAGCCGAUGGGCAGAAUUCAGAUUUCAGGGUGGUGAUGUGGGAAACUCCACAGAGGCCGGCUGACUGCGUGCUGAGAAAUGUCUACAUUAGAACACGCCAAGUGUGCGGUGGGGGCAUCCCGGCAGGCCACUGCAGAUUUAGAGAAACAUGGAAUAAUCUCGAGACGCCGGCAGAACCACAGAACGUGCUAAAGAAAUACAUUCUAGUGAGAAACAUUCUAUUGAGAAAUGACUCGAAAGACUACAGGCUUGUGUAAAAAAGUAUUCUUGUAUUAAACCUCUGACAAUCUUCAAACAUACAAAAUUUUUAAAAAUGAG